This 297-nucleotide long non-coding RNA is filed under the name Ananas comosus (pineapple). RNAcentral describes it as "long non-coding RNA (ACOM_LNC040915)". Lineage: Eukaryota; Viridiplantae; Streptophyta; Magnoliopsida; Poales; Bromeliaceae. The record is from RNAcentral.
UCACGGGUCAGAUGUACGACCACUUUUUCGGAAAAUAACACCCUCCUGCGGGGGAUCAACCCGCUGGUAUACGUGAAAUGCACUCGAGCUGUGGCGAUCAAUGCGGAUAUGAUCAAUAGCCAACCGUCGGCAACCAGCCGACAAUCACCGCCCCUCGGGGCUAACUGACCAAAAGGUCAUCCAACUGUAAGGAAGUACAAGAACCGUCCACUCAGGUCAGCUAGGAUGGAACAACUCAACAUCCUCUCAAAGAUAUGCAAAUACUGCUCAAUGGGUCAACUAAACUAUAAAUGCAAG